RNAcentral lists this ribosomal RNA (434 nucleotides) under uncultured Lachnospiraceae bacterium. RNAcentral's name for it is "partial 16S ribosomal RNA". It matches the Rfam family "Bacterial small subunit ribosomal RNA", at positions 341 to 792 of the family's 1533-position model. The record is from RNAcentral. Lineage: Bacteria; Bacillati; Bacillota; Clostridia; Lachnospirales; Lachnospiraceae.
ACGGAAGGCAGCAGUGGGGGAUAUUGGACAAUGGGGGAAACCCUGAUCCAGCGACGCCGCGUGAGUGAAGAAGUAUUUCGGUAUGUAAAGCUCUAUCAGCAAGGAAGAAAAUGACGGUACUUGACUAAGAAGCCCCGGCUAACUACGUGCCAGCAGCCGCGGUAAUACGUAGGGGGCAAGCGUUAUCCGGAUUUACUGGGUGUAAAGGGAGCGUAGACGGCAUAGCAAGUCUGAAGUGAAAUGCAUGGGCUCAACCCAUGAACUGCUUUGGAAACUGUUAAGCUAGAGUGCAGGAGAGGUAAGUGGAAUUCCUAGUGUAGCGGUGAAAUGCGUAGACAUUAGGAGGAACACCAGUGGCGAAGGCGGCUUGCUGGACGAUAACUGACGUUGAGGCUCGAAAGCGUGGGGAGCAAACAGGAUUAGAUACCCUGGUA